GCGGAAGUAGCUCAGUUGGUAGAGCACAACCUUGCCAAGGUUGGGGUCGCGGGUUCGAAUCCCGUCUUCCGCUC
This 74-nucleotide transfer RNA is filed under the name Porphyromonas macacae. RNAcentral's name for it is "tRNA-Gly(gcc)". It matches the Rfam family "tRNA". Rfam says of the family: Transfer RNA (tRNA) molecules are approximately 80 nucleotides in length. Their secondary structure includes four short double-helical elements and three loops (D, anti-codon, and T loops). Further hydrogen bonds mediate the characteristic L-shaped molecular structure. tRNAs have two regions of fundamental functional importance: the anti-codon, which is responsible for specific mRNA codon recognition, and the 3' end, to which the tRNAs corresponding amino acid is attached (by aminoacyl-tRNA synthetases). tRNAs cope with the degeneracy of the genetic code in two manners: having more than one tRNA (with a specific anti-codon) for a particular amino acid; and 'wobble' base-pairing, i.e. permitting non-standard base-pairing at the 3rd anti-codon position. Lineage: Bacteria; Pseudomonadati; Bacteroidota; Bacteroidia; Bacteroidales; Porphyromonadaceae. The record is from RNAcentral.